Molecule: ribosomal RNA, 425 nt
Filed under: uncultured Acetivibrio sp.
Lineage: Bacteria; Bacillati; Bacillota; Clostridia; Acetivibrionales; Acetivibrionaceae
Description: bacterial SSU rRNA
Rfam family: Bacterial small subunit ribosomal RNA
Source: RNAcentral
UGGGGAAUAUUGGGCAAUGGGGGAAACCCUGACCCAGCAACGCCGCGUGAAGGAAGAAGGCCUUCGGGUUGUAAACUUCUUUUACCAGGGACGAAGGACGUGACGGUACCUGGAGAAAAAGCAACGGCUAACUACGUGCCAGCAGCCGCGGUAAUACGUAGGUUGCAAGCGUUAUCCGGAUUUAUUGGGUGUAAAGGGUGCGUAGACGGGAAAUUAAGUUAGUUGUGAAAUCCCACGGCUCAACUGUGGAACUGCAACUAAAACUGGUUUUCUUGAGUACUGGAGAGGAAAGUGGAAUUCCUAGUGUAGCGGUGAAAUGCGUAGAUAUUAGGAGGAACACCAGUGGCGAAGGCGACUUUCUGGACAGAAACUGACGUUGAGGCACGAAAGUGUGGGGAGCAAACAGGAUUAGAUACCCUGGUAGU